RNAcentral lists this non-coding RNA (173 nucleotides) under Tetraselmis sp. GSL018. The record is from RNAcentral. Lineage: Eukaryota; Viridiplantae; Chlorophyta; Chlorodendrophyceae; Chlorodendrales; Chlorodendraceae.
UAGAAAAAAGAAAGAAAGGAAAAACUGGUUUCAAGACUCAGUUUUCCUGACUGUUUUUUCAAAUUGGUUUUGAAGGCCCCAUAUUCCACACACUUUUACUUAUCGAAGCUGAUACGUAAUGCUAACUGCUUCUGGCAAGCGUGACCAAAACGCAAGCUUCACAGAGAAGAAAA